CCUACGGGGGGCAGCAGUGGGGAAUAUUGGACAAUGGGGGGAACCCUGAUCCAGCCAUGCCGCGUGUGUGAAGAAGGCCCUCGGGUCGUAAAGCACUUUCAGUGAGGAAGAACGCCUGGUGGUUAAUACCCAUCAGGAAAGACAUCACUCACAGAAGAAGCACCGGCUAACUCCGUGCCAGCAGCCGCGGUAAUACGGAGGGUGCGAGCGUUAAUCGGAAUUACUGGGCGUAAAGCGCGCGUAGGUGGCUUGAUAAGCCGGUUGUGAAAGCCCCGGGCUCAACCUGGGAACGGCAUCCGGAACUGUCAAGCUAGAGUGCAGGAGAGGAAGGUAGAAUUCCCGGUGUAGCGGUGAAAUGCGUAGAGAUCGGGAGGAAUACCAGUGGCGAAGGCGGCCUUCUGGACUGACACUGACACUGAGGUGCGAAAGCGUGGGUAGCAAACAGGAUUAGAUACCCUAGUAGUC
This 465-nucleotide ribosomal RNA is filed under the name Vreelandella stevensii. Its description in RNAcentral is "partial 16S ribosomal RNA". It matches the Rfam family "Bacterial small subunit ribosomal RNA", at positions 338 to 795 of the family's 1533-position model. Lineage: Bacteria; Pseudomonadati; Pseudomonadota; Gammaproteobacteria; Oceanospirillales; Halomonadaceae. The record is from RNAcentral.